CAUCUACUCCCUCCGUCCGGAAUUACUUGUCGCAUAAAUGGAUGAAAAUGGAUGCUAGAAUUAAAAUACAUCUAGAUACAUUCAUUUCAACGACAAGUAUUUCCGGACGGAGGGAGUACUUG
Molecule: non-coding RNA, 122 nt
Organism: Triticum aestivum (bread wheat)
Lineage: Eukaryota; Viridiplantae; Streptophyta; Magnoliopsida; Poales; Poaceae
Source: Rfam